This 72-nucleotide transfer RNA is filed under the name Camelus bactrianus (Bactrian camel). It matches the Rfam family "tRNA". Rfam says of the family: Transfer RNA (tRNA) molecules are approximately 80 nucleotides in length. The record is from Rfam by way of RNAcentral. Lineage: Eukaryota; Metazoa; Chordata; Mammalia; Artiodactyla; Camelidae. RNAcentral also lists the same sequence under 2 other names.
GUGGGUAUAGCUUGGUGAUAGAGUGUGUGCUUAGCAUGCACAAGGUCCUGGGUUCAAUUCCCAGCACCUCCA